AUGAUUUUGUGCAGACUCGCAUUAAGCCCAAUCCAGAGUCAAGAAUCAGAUAAAACUUGUACUAACCAACUUUGAAUGGAAGCUUCUCUGACAUGUUGACGUUGUGCUGUCUGGUAAUGCCUGAUAUGGUUUGGUUUCAGCCCGGCUGUGGACCUGAGUGAGUGCAGAAGGAGUACCUGGUCUGGAUGGUAAAGACGUUGAGGGCACGUUUGGCAGUGGUACAUUAUCUCCAAUCUCCAGAAGGUUCUUGUCCAACUCUUCCUGCUCCAGUUCCUCCAGUUCAGCUAACAGCUCAUCCUGAAAACAACACACCGUCUGUUAAUACCAAGAAUUGACAUGAUUGUCAAAUCUGACAGGAUUUUAGAGAUCCCACAUAACUUAAUACAGCGUAAUUCUAAUUUUAGGAUGAGCUAAUCUACUUUUUUUGCAUUAAAUACAUCGAAAGUGAUAGUAAAGUAACUCAUAAUAGUGUGAAAGAUGUUAUUUUUAAAACAAAUUUUGUACUAAACUUUAUAUUUAUCAAAAAUUAAUAAACAUUU
Molecule: long non-coding RNA, 539 nt
Filed under: Danio rerio (zebrafish)
Lineage: Eukaryota; Metazoa; Chordata; Actinopteri; Cypriniformes; Danionidae
Description: si:dkey-16n21.5 (ENSDARG00000097690.2)
Source: RNAcentral